CGCAAGCCUGACGGAGCAACGCCGCGUGUGGGAAGAAGGCUCUUGGGCUGUCAACCACUUUUCUCAGGGAAGAAGUCCUGACGGUACCUGAGGAAUCAGCCUCGGCUAACUCCGUGCCAGCAGCCGCGGUAAUACGGAGGAGGCAAGCGUUAUCCGGAAUUAUUGGGCGUAAAGCGUCCGCAGGGGGCACUUCAAGUCUGCUGUCAAAGGUCGGAGCUUAACUCCGGUUCGGCAGUGGAAACUGGAGUGCUAGAGGGCGACAGGGGUAGAGGGAAUUCCCAGUGUAGCGGUGAAAUGCGUAGAGAUUGGGAAGAACACCGGUGGCGAAAGCGCUCUACUGGGUCGCACCUGACCCUCAGGGACGAAAGCUAAGGUAGCG
RNAcentral lists this ribosomal RNA (379 nucleotides) under uncultured cyanobacterium. RNAcentral's name for it is "bacterial SSU rRNA". It matches the Rfam family "Bacterial small subunit ribosomal RNA", at positions 376 to 770 of the family's 1533-position model. Lineage: Bacteria; Bacillati; Cyanobacteriota. The record is from RNAcentral.